Molecule: ribosomal RNA, 262 nt
Filed under: uncultured bacterium
Lineage: Bacteria
Description: partial 16S ribosomal RNA
Rfam family: Bacterial small subunit ribosomal RNA
Source: RNAcentral
CUUAGUGGCGGACGGGUGAGUAACGCGUGAGUAACCUGCCUUUCAGAGGGGGAUAACGUUCUGAAAAGAACGCUAAUACCGCAUAACGUCGCAAGACCAAAGAGGGGGACCUUCGGGCCUCUUGCCAUCGGAUGUGCCCAGAUGGGAUUAGCUAGUAGGUGAGGUAACGGCUCACCUAGGCGACGAUCCCUAGCUGGUCUGAGAGGAUGACCAGCCACACUGGAACUGAGACACGGUCCAGACUCCUACGGGAGGCAGCAUG